GUGCAGCUGUUCUGGGACAUCAACAGCACAGAGAGGGACUGGAGAGCAGGAGAGAAGAGGGAGGGGGCUGCUUCAUCCUAGAGAGAUCCUACAGCCUGGUGAUGAAGGAGAUGAAUAGGCAAAGUCUUUGAAGAAAUGGAAUUUGGGAAACUUCAGGGCAGAGCUCCCAGGAUAACCCUGAUUCUUAUGAGCACAUUCACCCACGGAACACUCCUCUUGACAUCCCAUCAUGGAGAACCAGCACACUCCAUUCCUGUAUGCUACAAAUUUCCUACAAAGAGUUUGUUCAGCUGUUAUCUCCGGUUUCCACAAAAGCUUGAAAGGACACUGUUGAAAGCUUAUCUGUUCUUUACACAGCCCAGUUGCCCGGCCUGCUCAGUUAUUCCUUCCCCUCUCAAAAUAGAGCUCAAGUUGAUAUGAAAAUAGCAUACCUCUCUCAGAGGGGGUGCACAACCAGUAAGGCAUUGAGAAAAACAAGGAAAGCUGACAUGAACUGGCUGUGUAUGUAUUCAAAAGGCUUCAAUAGCAGACUAAUUAAUCCUACUGUUGAUGCUAAUAUAGUUCUUUCAGGAUUCACAACUCAUUGCUCCAAGCAAAUUUACCUUUGAUCUUUAUUUAGCUCAAGAUGGUGACUGAAGUAUUUAUCAAAUGCAUUUAACUGCCCUAUGCUCAUGGACAAACUGGGACAGUGCAUGCAGACAGCCAAACCAUCACACUGGGGAAAAGGGAACUUGAGUAUCUGGCUGUCAGUGGAGGGAGAUGAGCUCUGUGUGGCUUCUGUGUCUCUUGCUCUGUUCUAAAACAGCUGCAAGGAUAUUAAGGUGGAGAGUCCAUUGAACUGAGAAAUGUCCAUUUCUGUCAAAGCCUUUGAAGGCUUCUCCCACUGCCAUGCUCACUUUGCUCUGCUACUUCUGAUUACAAGAUUUUUCCUCCUUCAUUUAUCCCCUCCAAAUAGGAUUAACCCCAUGUGCAAGAUAUGAAAGCUCUCACUUAUCAGGUCUGCUUGAUCCGCCAGCUGUCAAAAAUAAAUGCUCUGUCAUCUGCUUCAAUC
Long non-coding RNA from Coturnix japonica (Japanese quail), 1051 nucleotides. RefSeq lists it as uncharacterized. The record is from RefSeq and is a predicted model, not a curated record. Lineage: Eukaryota; Metazoa; Chordata; Aves; Galliformes; Phasianidae.